GGUCUAGGCAACUGGUAUGCUGUUUUAUCUUAUGAUGCAUCUGUCCGCCUAUGCCCCCACUCGUGGGCUAGGAGCUGUAUGGAGCUCCUCCCUUUUUGGAAAUUGAAUGCUCACUGCUGAGGGAUGUAUUAGGGUUAAGAAAUAUAUUAUUAAAAUCAGAGGAAAAGCUGACGAGGAAAGAUCAUUCUGAACUUGUGGGUGAAGGCGCUUACGUAAAGUCUAAGAAAACCAUCGGGAAGAUUAGAGUUCCAGUUCGUAAUGUGAAAAUGGGGACGAAGCAACCCACUGGUUUCACGUUUACAUCUUUAAAGUCUUCAUCCACGGUGAAGCUGGAAACAUUUCAGCAAAGGUUAUCAAAUGUGAAAUUGGUUGUUUCAUCCAACAAAAAGAAACAAAAAAAAGAAAAAAAAAGAAAAAAAGAAAAAAGGAAAAAAUGAAAAAAGAGAAAAAAAAAAUAAAAAAAUCUGACAUUGUAAGAGGCUCUCUUUAUUGCAUAGAAGCGUUGCACACUUAAUUGUUGGGAUUCAUGGAUACUUGAAAGAAGUACCCAUGCUCAUAAAGCGCAUCAACUUAUGAAUUGGUGCAAGAAUCAUAUUCUUGUAUGUUGAGAUUGAAAAGUUCGAUCGAAGAGGAUGCAUUGGGAAUGCAACCGGGACCUGCUUGCCAGGUGGAUUUGGAGAUGAUCUGAAUCUGAAUUAUAUUGUGGGCAUGUUCUUGUUCAGGUGGCUGACAUUUCUGAUGAAUCGGGGAAGAAGCGUGGUCAGUGUAUUAUAUCCGGGGAAAAAGAGCAUGAAAAAGCUGAGAAAAAUACAGCUAUACAUCAACUACUCAACCACUGCAGAUAAAGAUAGUUACAAGUGCAUAUCUGUAGCAGAAACUAUCGCUUAAGACUGUGUUUUGGAGACUGCGAUGAAAGGCCAACAGUUUCAGCACAGAAUCUUGUUGCUACAUGGUUCGUGGAAAUGGUUGGUGGAUUCAUUUGCAUCUUUUCUGGAGUUUUAGAUGCAUACACAAAGCUCAGAUACCUUUCAUACGUUAUGGAUAUCUCCACAGCAACAGUAGAUUAUCUUGAUUUGGUGCACGACAUUCUGCUGCCCGUGGUAAUCAAAGACAAAAAGUAAGCACACAUUGAGUCACUAAGAGGCCCGUUUUCUGGGAGAAGUUUCUGUUUCUGUUCAAAUUGAGCAGAUACUCACUCUGGUCUUGGAGAAUUUCAAGUUACUUGAUGAAUCAUCGAUGUCGGGUAUUAUAGAUGUAUUCGGACCUGCAACAGGAUUGGCUGCACCUGCACUUGAUCCUGCUUUGAAGCUCUACAAAUGGUUGCAUGAUAUUCUUUCCCCGAGAUUGCUACGAGAAAAAGGUCAAUCAGGCACUUGUUUGAAAUUGAUAAGUUCUUUUCGACUAAUAACGAAAACAUGUUAUUGGAUCCCGUGGCUGUCUCCACAGCAUAUAUGAAAGGAAAAACUAAUGCAUGGGUCUCAAGAUGUGAAGGUAGCAGUGAAAAACAAAGUUCCUCUUGUAAGGUCGUUGACUUGAGCUGUGUUACAUUCUGUAUUGAAACAAGUAACACAGCCACCAUACCUAAGGUUCACGAGGAAUAUGAUCCCUCAUUUAUUUUGGAGUGGUCUAGGCAACUGGUAUGCUGUUUUAUCUUAUGAUGCAUCUGUCCGCCUAUGCCCCCACUCGUGGGCUAGGAGCUGUAUGGAGCUCCUCCCUUUUUGGAAAAUGAAUGCUCACUGCUGAGGGAUGUAUUAGGGUUAAGAAAUAUAUUAUUAAAAUCAGAGGAAAAGCUGACGAGGAAAGAUCAUUCUGAACUUGUGGGUGAAGGCGCUUACGUAAAGUCUAAGAAAACCAUCGGGAAGAUUAGAGUUCCAGUUCGUAAAGUGAAUGGGGACGGAGCAACCCACUGGUUGCAUGUUUACAUCUUUAAAGUCUUCAUCCACGGUGAAGCUGGAAACAUUUCAGCAAAGGUUAUCAAAUGUGAAAUUGGUUGUUUCAUCCAAUAGAAAAAAAGAAAAAAAGGAAAAAAAAGAAAAAAAGGAAAAAGAAAAGAAAAGAAAAAAAGCUGACAUUUUAAGAGGCUCUCUAUAUUGCAUAGAAGCGUUGCACACUUAAUUGUUGGGACUCGUAGAUACUUGAGAGAAGUACCCAAGCUCAUAAAGUGCAUCAACUUAUGAAUUGGUGCAAGAAUCAUAUUCUUGUUUGUUGAGAUUGAAAAGUUCGCCCGAAGAUGAUUCAUUGGGAAUGCAACCGGUAUCUGCUUGCCAGAUGGAUUUGAAGAUGAUCUGAUAAUCGAAGUCCAUGAUUCGAAGGGAAAGUAUGGCGGGCAUGCUCUUGUUCAGAUGGCUGACAUUUCUGAUGAAUCGGGGAAUAAGCAUUGUCAGUGUUUUAUAUCUCGGGAACCAGAGCAAGAAAAAGCUGGGAAAAAUACAGCUAUACAUCAAAUAUUCAACCACUGCAGAUGAAAGUAGUUGCAAGGUAUGCAGAUGAAUAUAGUUACAAGAUAUAUGCAGAUGUUUUAUAGUUCAUGCUUAACGCCUAUUUCGUACAAAAUCAAGAUUCCAUCCUUCGGCGAGAGUGGCAUGACUAACUAUGUGUUAUGUCUAGUGCACAUACAUCUGUAGUAGAAAAUAUAGCUUACGACUAUGUUUUGGAGACUGCGAUGAGAGGCCAACAGUUUCAGCAAAGAAACUUGUUGUUGCUACAUGGUUUGUUGAUGAAUUUGGCGUUUUAGAUGCAUACACAAAAGCUCAGGUAUCAUGAUUUUGCAUUGCUGGUUACCUGGAACGGCUAUAUAUGUUUCCACUAUUGUAAAACGCAUUCUUACUCUUCGAUCGUUUAGAUACCUUUCAUACGUUAUGGAUUUCGCCACACCAACAGCAGAAUGUCUUGACUUUGUGCACCACUUUCUGAUUGAAUGUCUUGAUUGUUUUACUUAUCAGGUCCGUUUUCUGGGGGAAGUUUCUGUUCAAAUUGAGCAGAUACACACUCUGGUCUUUGAGAAUUACCAGGCACUUGAAGAAUCAUCCACUUGAUGAAUAUUAAAGAUGUAUUGAAGCUCUACAAAUGGUUGCAUGAUAUUCUUUCACCCGAGGUUCUUAGUGAAGGCCUAUCAUGGAUGGUUUCUGCAGUGGAUGACUUUGGUACUUCUCAUAUUAAGCUGAAGCUUUAGGAAGGUUGAUAAAGUAACUGAUUCUACAUCAACUGCGGUGAGUGGUGGCAUCACUGGCAUGGAUGGUCUUCCACGUCAAGAUAUCAGUGAAAAGACUACCCCCCCCCCGUUAAAAGGCUUAGAGGGUUCUGAUUUGAAGUGUAGGUCCGUUUGGAAUCUAUUGAAAGUGUGACCAAAAUUCUGGAAGAGGCGAACAAACCUAUUCUGCCUGCUGGAACUGGAGAUCUAUUUGGAGCUCUAAAAGGGAGUCCACACGACAGUAACAACAUUUUUUUUAUUAUUGCUACUUUGUCCACAAUCGGUACUCUUACGACUGCAAUGGACUGCCAGUUGAGAAGUCAGGCAAGGGCAUUCUUUCAGAUGCCUUGAAAUGCCUUGGCGACACAAAAAGCAUAUGAUUGAGUGUACAAUGAGAGUACCAAUGCUUGGUGCUGCUCAUCUCGAUAAAAUGGUCUGUAGUCAUUUUAGAAAAUAGUGUUUUUCGACUUCCUGCUUUGAGUAUUGUUAACCUCACGCUUGCUGAUGUCUUUAGCGUUUAGCUACCAUAUAUUAUUCUCUCAGACGCUGAAAUAGGCAUAGAAGGGCGCAGGGAUCUUUUUAAAUGGCUAUCAAGAAGACAACUUACCGGAUUGGAUAAAUAAGCAGAUGGUUGUAAAGCGGCUGAAGCAUGCUUUAAUGAAAUAUUGAGAGGGUUUAUGGACAAGAAACGCUGUUAUUAGCAAACGACUGAAGCCAUAUGGAGCUCUUCAAGGUAUUAUGCUACUUACAUUUAACUCAUUCAUCUCCUAGUAAAAAAAUAUAUUUAUGUUUUUCCACUUUUCCAUAUCAUUAUAUUGAUUUUUUUCGUGCCACAUCCAUUGCAGAUAAUUAUGAAUCUGGUAGAUCUGUUUCGUCAAGGUUAUCAGGUCAUAGCAAUUGCCACAACUGAAGGAUUCAAGAAUGAAGCUAAAAACAUGCUAGUUGCAUCUGGUAACAUUGAACAUGAUGGAUAGACAACGACGUGAAGAGGAGUUGAAAGGAAUGGAAGUUGUCUUCUUAUUUAAUGAAUGUCCAUGGCCAUAAAAUUGCUUGCUAUACCCAUGGGAUGAAAAAUGGUUGAUGUUAUUUCCUCUAAUUGCUUGGCGGGGGUACACAUCUUUUCAUAAGGAUGAGGGCCAUCGAAAUUCCAUGGCUUCUUCUCCUCCGAUGUUCAGUCCUUUUCGAUAACCGUUUUCGGAGUAACUCUUACCAGCCGCAUCGACAUGCUUCGUGAGAACCGGAAGCCAAAAAGGUAUUUUGAGAGCUAAUCUACUCACACCCACAAUUAGAUAUGCAGUGGCAUUGUGCUGUCAAUACAAUCUGCCUCGUCAGGUAUUGGAUAUAGGCCUCCUUACCCUUGGACAAUGGGAAUUCUUUGUUUCUUGCUGAGAUUUAUGCAAUGCCGUACAUGAAGAUGAUCCUCAAAUUUUAGAUUGAGGUAAUUCUAUAUUAUUUGGUUGCUUCAGUUUUCUAUUUUUAUUCAAUGGUACUAUUGGAGGUUGAUUUUGUAAUCACGAUAAUAGUAUGCUACACCUAGCCCUCAUUCAUACGGAACUUUGACCGGGGAUGACAAGUGAGUUAGCUUAGGAUAUUCUGACCAGCUUCCUUAUGCUCAAGGCCUUUUACAAGGACAAUCAGAAUAUGCAGUACAACAACUAAUAUUGAAAACCAAAUGGUUGUCAAUAAGAAGCUUUAUACUAUGGCUUCAUUCCAGUUAUAUGUUUUCUUUUUUUUUCAGUGCCGGUUGCCAUGGAUAGACA
Long non-coding RNA from Salvia splendens (bonfire salvia), 4950 nucleotides. RefSeq lists it as uncharacterized. Lineage: Eukaryota; Viridiplantae; Streptophyta; Magnoliopsida; Lamiales; Lamiaceae. The transcript has 31 exons. The record is from RefSeq and is a predicted model, not a curated record.